RNAcentral lists this ribosomal RNA (159 nucleotides) under Phaeoacremonium minimum. RNAcentral describes it as "5.8S ribosomal RNA". It matches the Rfam family "5.8S ribosomal RNA". From Rfam's summary of the family: 5.8S ribosomal RNA (5.8S rRNA) is a component of the large subunit of the eukaryotic ribosome. It is transcribed by RNA polymerase I as part of the 45S precursor that also contains 18S and 28S rRNA. The record is from RNAcentral. Lineage: Eukaryota; Fungi; Ascomycota; Sordariomycetes; Togniniales; Togniniaceae.
AAAAACUUUCAACAACGGAUCUCUUGGUUCUGGCAUCGAUGAAGAACGCAGCGAAAUGCGAUAAGUAAUGUGAAUUGCAGAAUUCAGUGAAUCAUCGAAUCUUUGAACGCACAUUGCGCCCGCUAGUAUUCUGGCGGGCAUGCCUGUCCGAGCGUCAUU